Molecule: long non-coding RNA, 2789 nt
Filed under: Acanthaster planci (crown-of-thorns starfish)
Lineage: Eukaryota; Metazoa; Echinodermata; Asteroidea; Valvatida; Acanthasteridae
Description: uncharacterized LOC110976757
Source: RNAcentral
AUGGCGACGUCCGGUGGUGUUAACGGUUCCUUAACGUCAACAUUGCUGGAUUUCAGGUGUUUAAUGCAUGAAGAAUCAGUCAAAUUUGAAAAAAGAGUAACAGCCCUUAAGAAUGUCCGAUGGGGAAAGUUCACUUCAUAUGUCAAAGUGUGGCUUGAUGUAUGCGCCAGAGAUCAAGAAAUCACGGUGACCGAACGAACCGAUUGCGAGGGACUACGCACGAUCUGUACAGAGGCUAUGGCAAAGCACGUAGAUUGGUUUUCAUGAGACAUGUUACCGGAGUUUUAGACGCCUGAAUGCUGCUCGAAAACGAAAGUUACACGAAGAUUAUUCCUCUGAAGCUUCAUCUUAUUCCCCUAAAAACUCUGGGCAAGAUCAAGAUUUUCCUCUGGAAGAUCUUCGAGACUCUCAUGACUCUAGCAUGUCUGGCAAGUGGCAUUCUGGUGUGUUGCCUGUAUGUUUACUUGAAUGCAUCAUGGAGGAAAGUUGAGCUGGUCGUCACUCGACAUGGGAAUUAUGUGUCAAAGAUAGGCUACUGCAGGCAGAGAUUUCUGAUAAAGGAAUGCGUCGUCUAGCAGCAGAGAGCAAAAGAGACGAGAAUGUUUUGAUACACAUUUGAGUCAAAGAUUGUCUCGCUCUGGAGGUUCGAUAUUACACCUGUGGUUACAAACCAAAUACUUAGUUCCUGACAAAGCAAGGAUCCUGAAGGGAGUGAACUUCAGAUGGAGCACCAAGAGGGCUACAAGAUGUUCAACAGAGAUAGUGAUUGAUGGCCAGGAAAUCAUGAGUAUGUCGAAGAUUGAUCAACUGUUCGUGACAGUGAUUAAGAGGCAUGACGGGACCUUCAAUCGCACCGAAGUGACAAGCUGAAGUACUGGCUUAUAUCCUGAGCUCUGCUUCCACAAGCCUUUAUGAACAAACAAGCGUGAGAUUAUCAACUCCUCCACAUUGUCAUCAAGAAGUGUGGCCGUAUCUCUGGAAACUUCAGAGAAUGAUUCAUGAACCGAUACGUCUGAGUUGGAAACUGGUACGGAUGCUCACACCUCUUCAUACGCUGUUACAUGUCAGGAUAACACUGUACUUGAUGAUUUUGGUGGAUAGUAAUGAAAUAAUGCUCCAGGGUUCCAAUUCGCAGCCCUCUUCAGUGUUGUAUUUUCAAGGAAGCACAAAACAUCAAGAUUUCGUAGCUCCCCUGUUCUUUAGAGUUGUCUCCUUCACCUUUGCAUCAUGCCAUGUUAUUUAAAAAAAAAAUAGCAUUACAUCUAAAUCAAAUGUGCUGUUUUCUUAAUUAAUUGAAUACAGUGAGAUUAACCGUUUGGGGAAUUUUUUUUCUAAAUGCCUUGUUUCAUAAUCGUACAGCCCGUGUCACAUAAUUACACUAAGUCUGAAUUAUAGUCAUUUGAUUUGGGAUUGGAAGCCACGUUGAACACAAAAUAAUUGGCUCUAAAAAAGUGGGCCCCUAAAUCAUAAUCACAUUCUGAGUACAUUAAGUGAAGUUCCGUACAUGUAUUUCCCCUGCUGUCUGCAAUUUAUUACAUUUUCAUUUCCAGUUUUAGAUAUCAUAGCCCCCGGUAUCUGUACUGUGCAAAACUAAUUAACUCCCCUUUUGCACUUUAUUUUUUUAUUCUAAAAAGCCAGAUCAUGAAGAGACCCGAAGAGUAGUGGUGGUGUCUACCAGAUCAAAACUCUUUUAAGAAAGAGCUAAUAAAGUCUUUCUGUGGUGUCACCUGACAAAAAUCCUGUGCAGUCUUUUCUUAAUUUGUCAUAUAUAUUCAUAAUAUAAAUUAAAAUUUAUAAUAUUGAAGGUUUGACAGAAUCGUAGUUCUCUAAUUCUAAAGUUAGAAUUGCCCAAACAAAGCCUUAGAAGUGCAUACAUGUACAUGCAUUGUGCAUUAUAGCAUACAAGACUAUGGCAAACAUUGAGAUGGAAUUACUAAAAAAUUGGAGAAUUUUUGCGAGAACUUUUGGCAUAACAUUUGGGAUGUACAGAACCUCGCAUUUAUGUAUUCAAAAAGUAUUCCCAGCGUUGCUUGAACGGAACUCGCUUUUACAGCCUGUUUCUUAGUCUCAGCUGACGGCCUAUGAAAGAGCCAGGGUCGGAUAGAAUCUGCCCUACUCUGAUAUCGCCGCAGUGCAUUUUUUUACGUGCUGAGCCUUCAGGAGGUUUUGUAGAAAUCGGACAUGUACCUACAGUUCUCGCGCAGCGUCCGUUUUUCCCGAUGUAGUUUAUUCAAAAUCGUAAACCUUUCCCCCGGGCUGGCGCGCGUGACCGUGAAAUUCAGUCGAUAAUACCAAACUUCACAUAUACUGACAAUAAGUAUCUAAUUACACGUACAUGCAACCUGAAUUUUCACAUACACGGGCAUGGGAAAACCAUGUUCCGCUGUGUCUACGUAUAUUUUUUCGUCGGAGUUCAUGAAGAUAUUUUCUUUUCUUGGUAUCUCGCUUGACUCCUACAAGCACACGGAAGUAACAAAGGAACCCCCCCCAAAUAGUCUCUGACUUUUCAUUUUCUUCAUAUUUUCCCUUUUUAAUUUAUUUCUUAUCUAAAGCAUUUUGAUAUUACUGGAGUUGGAAAGUGUUUCACCUUUGCCUUUAAUCUACUUUGAUGAUUAUAAAGAAACUGAAGCAAUCACAAGAAUAAUUCAAACCGUAUAAAAGUAAUGAUGCAAAUUAAUUUGAUUUCCGAAUAAGUUCAAUUAACAACAGGUUAGACAAAGGUUUUCUCGACAAGGUCUUCAAAUAUGUCCACCAACCUUUGCAAUUGAAUGUUAAAUGGCUAACUUGGU